This is a long non-coding RNA of Triticum aestivum (bread wheat), 1406 nucleotides long. RefSeq lists it as uncharacterized. The transcript has 5 exons. Lineage: Eukaryota; Viridiplantae; Streptophyta; Magnoliopsida; Poales; Poaceae. The record is from RefSeq and is a predicted model, not a curated record.
GAUUGUGUACAAAAUAUUCACAGCAAAGCAACGGUAAGCUUGCUCUAUCCUUCAAUAAAUCUUUGCAUACUUUAUUUGGGUUGCCAUCAUAUGUUUAUCCUUAUGUAUCCUAUUGAAAUUGAAUAGAUCAAACAGAGACCCAGUUACAACAGAGAUAAGAAAAUUGAGUAGUCAAUAUAGCAGCUGCAGUGUGAACUUCUGUUUUCCCGUAGUAACUUCAGAAAAAAGUCUCUCUACCUGGGUUAAGAAAUUCAGAACUUUACAGUGAGCAGGAGAAUGUGGACCUUAUAAGGUCUAUACAUGCAAGAUUCAGGAAUUGGAAACGGAAGUAACAUGGCAGAAGUUCUCCACUGGGCUCAAGGGGAUGAAUCGGUUAACUACAGAGAGCUUCAACAUGGUGGCAACCUGGUGAAGAAAUGAGAGGAAGUGGAAGGAUAUAAGGUAGCUUCUGCAGAAUCCAAUAUACUUGGAGUCCACAUCCAAGAUCAAAGCAUCUAGCUCUGUUCACUCAGGUUCUCAGGAGUAUCUCACAAAUGAGUCAUCAUAGGUGAGAGAUGUCUCAUCCAGCCGGACGAUAUUAUUGACCAUUUAAUAGCAGCUGACCAACAGUUUUGGUAAUUAGAGAAGAAGACAAUUCCACAGAAGCAAAGCCAGUGCAUUGGUUGGGAGCUAAAUUAGCAGGCAUGCUACCUAUACUAAAUACAUGUUGUGCUUCAUCUCCCUUCUGUCCUUCUAUGUAUUGAACUCAUUGGCAUAUGAUGUAACCUGUUAAUAUUCUUAAUGAAAUCACCCAUAAUGGGCAUUUUUCUUAAAUAAAAGAUUACAGUAUACCAUGACUAAGGCUUCAUACAGGAUUGUGUCUCCCUUGGUGUUAUUUGCAACAGCUGAGUAGCUCCGGAGAGUGUCAACGUAUGUGCCCAAACUCAGUAGAACAAGCACUAACGAUAGCAGAACUUGAAAAAUCGAGGAGAUGGCUGCUCUCACCAUAUAGUUCAAAGGUUCACUAUCCAAUGAUGCUAUUUAUGUUUAGGGUACUUAUUGUAUAACUGGUUAUAACAGAUAUGUUAUUUUAUGAUGACAUAUCUUUAGGAAAGAACAUAUUCAAAUAGAGAAAUUUUGCUGUGUUAGAUUUUUAUUAUUACCAAGUAUACGAGUUUGCUCUAUCUGGUUGUCUCAAAGUAUAACAGUUAUACGAGAAUAUGAUAAUCAAUUGCAUGUUUGUGAAGAACAGAGCCCUGUAGGUGUGGCAGUAUGGCCUCUUUCUAGAGACAUACUUGACUGCUUAUUAAGUUGUGGGUUGUUUUUUGACAGAUAUAUUUUCUCACUUUCUUACAACAACUUAGUCUCCAGUUAUUGUACAAGUCUGGUGCGCAAGUGUUGUUUCGUUCCAUCUUCAGUUUGAUUGU